CAGACGGUAGUGGAAUAGGACAGGGCACUGUCGGAGUCUGGGCAAACAUCAUGGGGUUACCGAAGAGUGGCGUGACCCGACUGGUUUUUUGUUACUGGAAGAGAGAUGGAGAAUUGAGGGAAGGAGGGAGGACACAGAAAGUACAGCGAAUGAUGCUGCGAGGCUGUCGAACAUUUCUGAUUUCAAUUUGUGCCAAAGGAAAAGACAAGUGAGAUCUCUGGAAAAGGGCCAGAGUGUUGCAGAUAUGCUCUCAGACCUGCUGAGCUUUCCCAGCAAUUACGAUUCUGCUUAUAUUGCUGCAUGUGAAGAAGAUAGAAAAACACACCUGAGUGC
Chiloscyllium plagiosum (whitespotted bambooshark) is the source of this 333-nucleotide long non-coding RNA. RefSeq lists it as uncharacterized. NCBI's taxonomy places the organism in Eukaryota, Metazoa, Chordata, Chondrichthyes, Orectolobiformes, Hemiscylliidae. The record is from RefSeq and is a predicted model, not a curated record.